Molecule: ribosomal RNA, 371 nt
Filed under: uncultured bacterium
Lineage: Bacteria
Description: partial 16S ribosomal RNA
Rfam family: Bacterial small subunit ribosomal RNA
Source: RNAcentral
AUACGUAGGUGGCAAGCGUUGUCCGGAAUUACUGGGUGUAAAGGGCGUGUAGGCGGGGAUGCAAGUCAGAUGUGAAAUUCCGGGGCUCCACCCCGGCCCUGCCUCUGAAACUGUGUCUCUUGAGUGCUGGAGAGGAAAGCGGAAUUCCUAGUGUAGCGGUGAAAUGCGUAGAUAUUAGGAGGAACACCAGUGGCGAAGGCGGCUUUCUGGACAGUAACUGACGCUGAGGCGCGAAAGCGUGGGUAGCGAACAGGAUUAGAUACCCUGGUAGUCCACGCCGUAAACGAUGGAUACUAGGUGUAGGAGGUAUCGACCCCUUCUGUGCCGGAGUUAACACAAUAAGUAUCCCACCUGGGGAGUACGGCCGCAAG